RNAcentral lists this transfer RNA (76 nucleotides) under Acinetobacter baumannii. Its description in RNAcentral is "tRNA-Gly". It matches the Rfam family "tRNA". From Rfam's summary of the family: Transfer RNA (tRNA) molecules are approximately 80 nucleotides in length. Their secondary structure includes four short double-helical elements and three loops (D, anti-codon, and T loops). The record is from RNAcentral. Lineage: Bacteria; Pseudomonadati; Pseudomonadota; Gammaproteobacteria; Moraxellales; Moraxellaceae. RNAcentral also lists the same sequence under 1 other name.
GCGGGAAUAGCUCAGUUGGUAGAGCAUAACGUUGCCAAGGUUGGGGUCGCGAGUUCGAGUCUCGUUUCCCGCUCCA